This 326-nucleotide ribosomal RNA is filed under the name uncultured Bacteroidota bacterium. Its description in RNAcentral is "bacterial SSU rRNA". It matches the Rfam family "Bacterial small subunit ribosomal RNA", at positions 29 to 351 of the family's 1533-position model. The record is from RNAcentral. Lineage: Bacteria; Pseudomonadati; Bacteroidota.
AACGAACGCUGGCGGCGUGGUUUAGGCAUGCAAGUCGAACGGGAUUCGGUGUAGCAAUACAUUGAUGAGAGUGGCGCACGGGUGCGUAACGCGUAUGCAACCUACCUUUAACAGGGGAAUAGCCCCGAGAAAUCGGGAUUAAUACUCCGUAACAUUGCGGUGUGGCAUCACACUGCAAUUAAAGAUUCAUCGGUUAAAGAUGGGCAUGCGUGACAUUAGCUAGUUGGUGAGGUAACGGCUCACCAAGGCCACGAUGUCUAGGGGUCCUGAGAGGGUUAUCCCCCACACUGGUACUGAGACACGGACCAGACUCCUACGGGUGGCUG